GGUGGUUUUUGGAUGACGCCUCCUGGAAUCGGGCUCCCUCCUCUCUGGUUCUGAGUGCAUCACCCAAGAACCGCA
Molecule: non-coding RNA, 75 nt
Organism: Myotis davidii
Lineage: Eukaryota; Metazoa; Chordata; Mammalia; Chiroptera; Vespertilionidae
Source: Rfam